RNAcentral lists this ribosomal RNA (749 nucleotides) under Brevibacterium aureum. RNAcentral describes it as "bacterial SSU rRNA". It matches the Rfam family "Bacterial small subunit ribosomal RNA", at positions 76 to 845 of the family's 1533-position model. The record is from RNAcentral. Lineage: Bacteria; Bacillati; Actinomycetota; Actinomycetes; Micrococcales; Brevibacteriaceae.
AAGCUUGCUUCUGGUGGAUGAGUGGCGAACGGGUGAGUAACACGUGAGUAACCUGCCCCUGAUUUCGGGAUAAGCCUGGGAAACCGGGUCUAAUACCGGAUACGACCUACCCUCGCAUGAGGGUUGGUGGAAAGUUUUUCGAUCAGGGAUGGGCUCGCGGCCUAUCAGCUUGUUGGUGGGGUAAUGGCCCACCAAGGCGACGACGGGUAGCCGGCCUGAGAGGGCGACCGGCCACACUGGGACUGAGACACGGCCCAGACUCCUACGGGAGGCAGCAGUGGGGAAUAUUGCACAAUGGGGGAAACCCUGAUGCAGCGACGCAGCGUGCGGGAUGACGGCCUUCGGGUUGUAAACCGCUUUCAGCAGGGAAGAAGCGAAAGUGACGGUACCUGCAGAAGAAGUACCGGCUAACUACGUGCCAGCAGCCGCGGUAAUACGUAGGGUACGAGCGUUGUCCGGAAUUAUUGGGCGUAAAGAGCUCGUAGGUGGUUGGUCACGUCUGCUGUGGAAACGCAACGCUUAACGUUGCGCGUGCAGUGGGUACGGGCUGACUAGAGUGCAGUAGGGGAGUCUGGAAUUCCUGGUGUAGCGGUGAAAUGCGCAGAUAUCAGGAGGAACACCGGUGGCGAAGGCGGGACUCUGGGCUGUAACUGACACUGAGGAGCGAAAGCAUGGGGAGCGAACAGGAUUAGAUACCCUGGUAGUCCAUGCCGUAAACGUUGGGCACUAGGUGUGGGGGACAUUCCACG